RNAcentral lists this microRNA precursor (90 nucleotides) under Myotis lucifugus (little brown bat). RNAcentral describes it as "miRNA (ENSMLUG00000020200.2)". The record is from RNAcentral. Lineage: Eukaryota; Metazoa; Chordata; Mammalia; Chiroptera; Vespertilionidae.
UGUGUGUGUAUGUGUGUGUGUGUGUGUGUGUGUGUGUAUGUAUGUAUGUAGACACACACACACACACACACACACACACACACACAACAC